GAGACACAGGCAGAGGGAGAAGCAGGCUCCAUGCAGGGAGCCCGAUGCGGGACUUGAUCCCAGGUCUCCAGGAUCACGCCCUGGGCGGAAGGCAGAUGCUCAACCACUGAGCCACCCGGGGGUCCCUUGUUAAGUGUUUUAGAAGCAUUAUCUGCAAAUGCUGCAGGAGACCGGAAGGGAUCAAGGGCCUGGUGACCAGGGGGUUCCCGGAAGAGGGGUGCUCAACAAAGGCCUUAGGGAAGCUUCUGGUCUCUUCCCACACUCAGACAUCCUGACCGCACGUCCCCCACAGGCCCUCGUGUGCCUGGCACGCUUUGCCCCUGUCUACCCGGAGACACCUGCCUCUCCUGCGGGGGUGUGGGAGACACCCCGUAGGUGAGGAAGCAGUAUCGGAUGCAAAGGGCUCAGGUGGCAUGGGGCCCGACCUGCAGCAGGCCUGCAACAACUAGCGUCGCUGCUGAUGCUGUGGACGGCCCUCGGUCGAUAUUCUGAUUAAGCGGAAGGUGAUGGAUAGUGUCGUGAACACAGAGAGAGGCACCGUGCAAAGAGCUCGCUUGGCCCGGGACAGAGGUGGGAGCACUUCGGAGCAUCGACGGCUACCUCUUUAUGGACGGGUAAGCACAGAGGCUCACAGAGGCAGCCCCCACGCAGAACCCGCGCAGGGGCUCCCCUCUCUCCGGGGCUGGGUAAGGGGUUGUGCGGAGAGGGUGCCGGGGGUGGGCACCUUCCCCUAGAGUCCUAUCGACCUGGGGAUCUGUUCACUCACAUUUCUACCCCCUUCAGUGUAUCUGAUUUUGUUUGCUCCAUUUUAUUCUUUGUAUAUUGAUGAUGAUUGUUUAGCUAAUUAGUCUGAAGACAUUCUGGCUGGAUUUGGGGGAAAUUAAAGACCUCCUCUUAAUUGUGCCAUGUUUUGG
Long non-coding RNA from Canis lupus familiaris (dog), 914 nucleotides. RefSeq lists it as uncharacterized. NCBI's taxonomy places the organism in Eukaryota, Metazoa, Chordata, Mammalia, Carnivora, Canidae. The transcript has 3 exons. The record is from RefSeq and is a predicted model, not a curated record.